Long non-coding RNA from Cyprinus carpio carpio, 534 nucleotides. Lineage: Eukaryota; Metazoa; Chordata; Actinopteri; Cypriniformes; Cyprinidae. The record is from Ensembl.
CUCAGUCAUUAAAUGAAAAGGCGUCAUGCCUCAGACUAAAAGGCUUCAGUCAUUGGACAAAACGGCAUCGCGCCUCAGACUGAAAAGCUUCAGGUCUCAGGAAAAAUGACGUCAGGUGUCAGGUCUCAUACAAUUAGGCAUCAGACGAAACGGACUCAGACAAAAAGGCAUCAGACGAAACGGACUCAGACAAAAAGGCAUCAGACGAAACGGACUCAGGAAAAAAAGGCAUCAGACGAAACGGACUCAGGUGGAGUAUCGCGUUGCCCCGCCCCAGGUGACGUCACACGCACGCGGUUCAGAGGAAGUGGUAUAUAACGGUUGAUUGAUGGCAAAAGGAGUUAAGCAGCGUCUGAUAUAUUAUAUUUUAACAGUUUUAUUCAAAUGUUACACUAAUUAAGUUAUAUACGGAAGAGAACAUGCAUUUCGAGAGUCUUGUGUGCACGUUUAAAAUGUUAGUUAGCCAUAUUGCAACUAGCCAGCUUUUAUUUUGGCAAAGUGUAGUAAAAUUACCCUUACGAAAAAUAACCAUGG